UGCGCGUCAGAAUGUGAACUGCAGGACACAUGAACACCGAUACGUUGAACGCAUAUUGCACAUCGCACGACACAGUGCGAUGUACACAUUUUUGAGUGCCCAUCCUCACCGCAUAG
RNAcentral lists this ribosomal RNA (116 nucleotides) under Anopheles homunculus. Its description in RNAcentral is "partial 5.8S ribosomal RNA". The stretch from base 1 to 101 matches the Rfam family "5.8S ribosomal RNA", at positions 54 to 154 of the family's 154-position model. From Rfam's summary of the family: 5.8S ribosomal RNA (5.8S rRNA) is a component of the large subunit of the eukaryotic ribosome. It is transcribed by RNA polymerase I as part of the 45S precursor that also contains 18S and 28S rRNA. Functionally, it is thought that 5.8S rRNA may be involved in ribosome translocation. Lineage: Eukaryota; Metazoa; Arthropoda; Insecta; Diptera; Culicidae. The record is from RNAcentral.